GGCUCAGGAUGAACGCUGGCGGCGUGCUUAACACAUGCAAGUCGAACGAUGAUCUCCAGCUUGCUGGGGGGAUUAGUGGCGAACGGGUGAGUAACACGUGAGUAACCUGCCCUUAACUCUGGGAUAAGCCUGGGAAACUGGGUCUAAUACCGGAUAUGACUCCUCAUCGCAUGGUGGGGGGUGGAAAGCUUUAUUGUGGUUUUGGAUGGACUCGCGGCCUAUCAGCUUGUUGGUGAGGUAAUGGCUUACCAAGGCGACGACGGGUAGCCGGCCUGAGAGGGUGACCGGCCACACUGGGACUGAGACACGGCCCAGACUCCUACGGGAGGCAGCAGUGGGGAAUAUUGCACAAUGGGCGCAAGCCUGAUGCAGCGACGCCGCGUGAGGGAUGACGGCCUUCGGGUUGUAAACCUCUUUCAGUAGGGA
Molecule: ribosomal RNA, 426 nt
Filed under: Arthrobacter sp.
Lineage: Bacteria; Bacillati; Actinomycetota; Actinomycetes; Micrococcales; Micrococcaceae
Description: bacterial SSU rRNA
Rfam family: Bacterial small subunit ribosomal RNA
Source: RNAcentral